This 355-nucleotide unclassified non-coding RNA is filed under the name soil metagenome. RNAcentral describes it as "partial contains 5.8S ribosomal RNA, internal transcribed spacer 2, and large subunit ribosomal RNA". The stretch from base 1 to 120 matches the Rfam family "5.8S ribosomal RNA", at positions 35 to 154 of the family's 154-position model. The record is from RNAcentral.
GAUGAAGAACGUAGCGAAAUGCGAUAAGUAGUGUGAAUUGCAGAAUUCAGUGAAUCAUCGAAUCUUUGAACGCACAUUGCGCCUUCUAGUAUUCUGGGAGGCAUGCCUGUUUGAGCGUCAUUAAACCUCUCUCAAGUAUGAUUACUUGGAUGUGAAGGAAGAGUACCUUAAACUUAAGGAGUGUUCUCCUUUGAAAUUGAUUAGCAGAUGGUAAUGUUAUUAAAUCCCUGAUGUUGUAAGAAAUAACAGUGGUUUUGUAGACUAUUAUCUAGCUUUAGAUUAUAAUUUUUAUUAUGGUUGACCUCAAAUCAGGUAAGGAUACCCGCUGAACUUAAGCAUAUCAAUAAGCGGAGGA